AUGGGCUAUCAACAGUGAUGGGGCAGGCCCAUCACCGCCGGGUCUAUAACCGAGAGUGAUAAGUGGUAAAAUAAUUUUCUUUUCAGGAUUUGAACUCUAAGACCACAGUAUUUGCAUUCCCUCAAGCAAAACAUACUAGCUGAGCUACUUGAAGUGCCGCAAUUUUUUUAACUACACAAUUUUGAAUUUUGUAAUUAUAUAUUUAACACUAUAAAUGAUUUUAAAUAAAAAAGUUAUUAAUUAUAAAGUUAUAGAUUUUAUUGAGAACCACA
RNAcentral lists this long non-coding RNA (272 nucleotides) under Sorghum bicolor (sorghum). Its description in RNAcentral is "long non-coding RNA (SBIC_LNC016834)". Lineage: Eukaryota; Viridiplantae; Streptophyta; Magnoliopsida; Poales; Poaceae. The record is from RNAcentral.